UGUUCACUCGUGGUUCUUGUGUUGCCUACCCGUUUAGCGGUAUUCAUGUGCCUCUUAAGACCCGUUCAAUCCAGACCCCUUCUAGGGAGCGCUGGUGAGUUCGAAAGUGAUGCAUGUUUUGCGUUAGCUGUGCAUUGCAACGGUUGGCGUGCUAACAUGUGUCUAUUGUUCCCUCGGAUGCGGUGCAUGCGGUGAACGUGGGCUGACGAUUGUGCCCCGUUGAGUCCCUUUUAAUUAUCGGUUGCCUUGAAUGACACUUUGUCGUAGUGCUAGUGUUGAUUUACCAUUCGUGGUGUCAACACUAGUAUGUCGAGCAGAGUCGUUGAUGGAUGCUACCUGGUUGAUCCUGCCAGUAGUCAUAUGCU
This 365-nucleotide unclassified non-coding RNA is filed under the name Ulex argenteus subsp. erinaceus. RNAcentral describes it as "partial contains external transcribed spacer and 18S ribosomal RNA". Lineage: Eukaryota; Viridiplantae; Streptophyta; Magnoliopsida; Fabales; Fabaceae. The record is from RNAcentral.